AAGGGAGACCUAAUUCAGGUAGGAGACGAAAAAAAGUAGUCCCUACCAAGAAUCAAUCCCAAAAGGUCGGAGCGAGGCAAAAUUGGCUUUCAAACUAGGUUCUGGGUUCAUAAAAGACCUGAAUCAGGAACAAGGGCUAUUAGCUCAGGUGGUUAGAGCGCACCCCUGAUAAGGGUGAGGUCCCUGGUUCGAGUCCAGGAUGGCCCACCUGCACAGGUGGCAAAAACAAGAGAAGCGAGGAAUCAGCACCCUAUCUUAUAUACAUAUAUAAGAGAGAAUGCUGGCUCUGAGUACAGAGUCCAGAGGAACCUUGAAAACUGCAUAGAGCUAGGUGAAAAAGCCAAAGAAGAAGACCGCAA
RNAcentral lists this transfer RNA (359 nucleotides) under Microcystis sp. EG39. RNAcentral's name for it is "16S-23S ribosomal RNA intergenic spacer". The stretch from base 134 to 207 matches the Rfam family "tRNA". Lineage: Bacteria; Bacillati; Cyanobacteriota; Cyanophyceae; Chroococcales; Microcystaceae. The record is from RNAcentral.